ACAGUAAGAUUUUAACAACAGUACCUUAAAGAUUGGGAAGUGUGUUACAUCUUACCUGUAGCCUACUGUAAUCUCUCUCCCUUAAGAAGGUUCUAUUAUGUAUGAAUACCUUCAAUCUAUGGUAGAUAUGUUUAUGAUGACUUUGGAAAAUUGGUAAAUGUAAAUGAUGUUUCUGGUUCUGCGUGUUUGAGACAGUCAUUUAUUUAGGUUUAAAAACUCUUACAUAUAAGAAGUAAUUGAGUUAAUAUGUCUUACGGCUUCCUACUGAUAUAUAGAUAUGGAACGGAAAUGGUAAUUAUGAUAAUGGUUGAAUUUAUUUUAAUUUUUAUGCAGAAUGAUGUAGUUAAUGGUUAUAGAAAAUGUUGAUUAGUUCUGUGUGUUAUGAGCAGUAUAUUGGAGGAAGCUUGAUGACUAUAAA
Molecule: long non-coding RNA, 418 nt
Organism: Sapajus apella (tufted capuchin)
Lineage: Eukaryota; Metazoa; Chordata; Mammalia; Primates; Cebidae
Exons: 2
Source: RefSeq, a predicted model, not a curated record